CCCUUAGAUGUUCUGGGCCGCACGCGUGCUACACUGAGUGGAUCAGGGGGUCAGGUUGCGCGAAAGCGUUUCCUAAUCUUUAAAUCCGCUCGUGAUGGGGAUUGACGGUUGCAAUUUUCUGUCAUGAACGAGGAAUACCUUGUAAGCGCGGGUCAUCAUCCCGCGCUGAAUACGUCCCUGCCCUUUGUACACACCGCCCGUCGCUCCUACCGAUUGAGUGGUCCGGUGAGGCUUUGGGAUCUGAGCGGAAAGAGCGUUUCGCUGUUUCUGCUCGGAAAACUCAGUCGAACCUUAUCAUUUAGAGGAAGGAGAAGUCGUAACA
RNAcentral lists this ribosomal RNA (322 nucleotides) under uncultured eukaryote. Its description in RNAcentral is "partial 18S ribosomal RNA". It matches the Rfam family "Eukaryotic small subunit ribosomal RNA", at positions 1470 to 1796 of the family's 1831-position model. The record is from RNAcentral.